This 2876-nucleotide long non-coding RNA is filed under the name Mytilus galloprovincialis (Mediterranean mussel). The record is from RNAcentral. Lineage: Eukaryota; Metazoa; Mollusca; Bivalvia; Mytilida; Mytilidae.
CUUUUUAUCAGGGUCAAAAACAAUUUAUUUUUUUCUCUAAAAACUGGAAAAAAAAUUAUUUUCCAGAAAAUCAAUAGCCCCCAUCCCUGAAAAUCAAAAUGGUUACUGCCUUAGAGAUUAGAGCCUCUACUUUUAUUUGGAAAAUAUUAAUCAAGUUCAGGGCUUAUAUUUAUAAUAAUUAAUGGAAUUUAAAUUUUCAGAAUUAUACACACUUGUCAUGCUUGUAGUUCCCAAGAUGUAAGUGAAAGUGAAGUUAUACAAUGAAAUGAAUGAAUUGAUUAGAUAUACAUGUAGAUGAGACCCUAUAGCUACAGUACAUGUAAUUGGUAUGUAUUUGUUACAGUAAGUGUAGUGGUAUGACAAAAAUGCUGAAUCAUGUGCAAAUUUAAAAAGGAGUUCACGCAAACUGACGAAAUAAAAGAAAAACACUACCAAUCAACAGAUCAAGGGAAAAGUUAAUCUGCUAUAUACAUGUAUGGAAUAGGCAUGUAGUUACAUUUAUUUACCUCUGUAAUUUUCAGUCCAUGUAAAUUUAUGAGAUUAAAAUUUUAUAUUCUGGGUAUCCUAAGAUUUCAAUUCUUAUUUAAUUCAUAUUAAUAUUAUUCCCAUGUGCUAAUUUAUGCUUGUAGUUUGAGGAAAAUUAUCAAAAUAGCUCGACUAAAAUUAAACAAUUACUGAUAUCAUGAACUAGGCAAUUUUUGCUUUGUCAGAUGUUCAAAUUUAAAAUUUCCUGUAGAAACGGAAAGAUGGUCCAGACUUUCAAAAAAUGCACGAAUUUGUCAUCUCUGUGAAAAUGGAAUAGGAGAUGAAUUUCAUUAUCUAUUUAAAUGUCAAAAACAGGAAAUAAAACUGCUUAGAAAUAAGUAUAUACCACAAUAUUAUACUGCAAAUCCAACGGAGUACAAAUUUAAACAGCUUUUAACAUUUUGUCAUGUAGAACUUUACAAAAACUUAGCAAUAUUUUUUUUAUUUCUAAGUACACGAUACUUGUGAUUUAUGUAGUCUUUUUUGAGUUGAAUGUUAUGGUAGUUUGUAAAUUGACAUUUUGCUAUAUUUUACCAUGUUUGUAGCAUUAUUAUGUUUAGUGUAUAUUGUGUAUAAAAAUGUGUAUACAUGUAUAUUAUGAUGUCCUCUUGUACACCUAUGUGUCUGAGCCUCAGGUUUAUUAAUAAAGUAUUGUCUAUUGUCAAAUGACAUACAUUAAAUCUGACAUACAUUAAAUCAAAAAAAAGAAAAAGAUUGUAUGGUGUACAAUACUGUCUGGGCAGGGUUCAUUGGUCAAUAUAAAGUGUCAUAUUUUGGUCUGUUUAUUGUAUACUACACUAGCUAUAAUCAAUUAAGAAAUCAGCUGUUUUUGGUGUAAGCUAUGACUGUAAGGGCUAAGACAUGUAAGAAGGGGGCUUGAAAAUGAUGAGUUGUGUUUUUAUAGGCACUAAGUAUACUUAUAUAUAUAUAUAUAUAUCAGUCUAAAGAUUUGCACAACGGUACUGAUAUAAGAUGUUAUAAUACGAAAAUGUUGUUAUUAAAUCGUGUUGACAAAUAUUUCGGCUCAACAAAUGGCCUUCUUCAAGUGUCACAAGUUUUAACAAUUUGUUAAAACUUGUGACACUUGAAGAAGGCCAUUUGUUGAGCCGAAAUAUUUGUCAACACGAUUUAAUAACAACAUUUUCGUAUUAUAACAUCUUAUAUCAGUACCGUUGUGCAAAUCUUUAGACUGAUAAAUUUUUUCCUUAUCUGCAUAGUAUCGCCUAUUCUAGACGAUCCGGUACAUAGUAAAUUGCUGGUUGGUCGUUUUUAUAGACUUUUAUAUAUAUAUAUAUAUAUAUAUAUAUAAUAUAUAUAUAUAAUAUAUACAGGUUAUAUGUAGUACACAUAUAAUGUAUAUGAAAACAAACUGUCUUCAGUAAUAUAUUAUACUUAUUAUAAAUUAUAAAACAUGUAACGUGGUAAGACUUCCAAUGAGACAACUAUCCACUAGAGUCCAAAUAACUGAAUACUGCCAACUAUAAAUGAUCAUAUGUACAGCUUUCAACGAUGAGCAAAACUGAUACAGCAUAAGUGAGCUAUAAAAUGUCCUGAAACAGGGUUGGCAAUUCAAAAACCUGGGUUUUAUGAGUAUUGCAAUGCCCAGCCCAGUUGGAAAUACUAGUAAAAAACCUAGGUCUGGGUUUUACUAAAAAUCACCAUAAAGUCACCAAUUGAUCAUGUCAGAGCUCGAGCUUAAAAUACAAUACAAUUUUCUCCUAAUUAUAAGUUUGGUAAAUCAUUGGAGAUUAAAUUGAUGUAAUCUUUUUUGCUUGAACCUUGACUCCAGAAACAAACAUUACAUGUGGAUUUUAUUAUAUUACAGGAACUGUAGGAAGUUUUCCAAGAGCUGAAAGUGAUUGCUAAGUAUGCAUUACAGGAUUUUAUCAUUGGAGCAACAUCUUAGGAGGAUAAACUUGUGCAAAUGUAUGAAGGAAUCCUUGAGUACAAAUAGCAAUUAUAUGCAGAAGAGGACUCUUAAACAUUAUAAACAGACAUGAAGUAAUAGUAGUGGUGUAUUCAAGAAGUGUAAACCACCUGGAAUAAACUAUUGUGUAUAUUUUUUCAACCACAAGUACUUUCAGAAUAUAAUACAAUUCAAAUUCAAAUUAUUGUGUCAACAGACAAGUAAUGUUAAAAAAAUGAAAAUGCAUGUUGUUUUAAAAUGAAAUUUGUAUAUAAAAAAAAACGAAAUAACAAAAUUUUUUUUAGCUUAUUGUGCAGCCAAAAUUUGAGAUCCUUUACUGUGGUAUUAUGCUUGUUUUUUUGUCAACAUUUUCCCUAAAUCUUAAGAUCAGUGUUAAAAUGAGAAAAACUAUUUUUGCAUAUAUGAAACAAGAAGUAAAUGGUUG